Molecule: long non-coding RNA, 887 nt
Organism: Hyposmocoma kahamanoa
Lineage: Eukaryota; Metazoa; Arthropoda; Insecta; Lepidoptera; Cosmopterigidae
Exons: 3
Source: RefSeq, a predicted model, not a curated record
CCAGCCGCCAAGCGGUACUGGCAUUCCGUGGAGUGUGUCGACAGCGAUGUCUUGAGCUCAAAACAAGCCUUACCUAAAGCGGCAGGGUUUUUUGGAAGAUGUGUUAUAAAUAAAAAGCGAAAAAGGUUGACGACCACAGGGAAAUGGAAACUCAUAACUUAGGGAAGGGGUACGAAAAUGUUUUGUUGAAAAUUGAGCCCGGUUUGAUGGAAGCGAUGAUGGAAAACCUACUUAACAUGAGUUGGCGAAAAAGGCCUAUUGAAAAUGAUGACACAAAAGCUCUAUCUGUCCAAAAUACAAAUCUCAUUAUGAAACAAAAUAUAUUGAUGAGCUGUCAAAAAAUAUAAGCGUUUGCUAGCUACCACGUUACUACUGCAACUUAAGUCUGAUUCGGACUAUAUUAGUAAUUUAGUCAAGUCGCAAUUAAUUUAAUAACUAUACGUGUCUGAGCAACAAAAUUGAGUGAUGUAGUCGAAUCGAUCUGUUAUUGAAAAUUUUCGGGUGGUAACGAUUCUGAAUACGUUUGACUACAUUAUUCAUACACUAAACGAGUGAAACCCGUUAAUUUAGUCAAGUUCAUUAGUUGCCGCAAAAAUGUCAUGUUGAAGCGAAGAUACAACUUAGUUGCGAUAUAAUUACAACAUGAGUGAAUUAGAUUUAGUCGCCUAGUUCAUCUCUUAUUAUUAAUCCAUUCUUGUACUACAGUACCGUACCAUCUAUUUUGGUCGUUGAUUUUAAAAUUAUAGUUCUUUUUUUCAUUUAUCACUGCAUCUUUCAAGUAAGGAAAUUAAAUGAAUGUGAACUGUAAAAAAAUGGGGUUUAACUUUUAAACAAUCAUCCAUUUUUAAUGGGUCUAAUUAAGAAAUAGUACCACCUGCAUUUUGACC